CUCUGAAAGCUCAACAAGUUGCAUAAAUUUUCUCCUGUAUAAGUAAAAUAAAAAUCAGGGGCAAAGGAAGGGUUGUUUAGUUUGAACCUAUACUGAACUCUAAGGCUAGUCGCCCAUGGGAAAGAGCACAGGAUAUGCUGGUUACAUCAGCAAGAGAUGGCUUAUACACUUGAAAGGUUGCACAACAGAUGAUGAGAAAAAAAACCCAACGGGAUGAUAGUGACACUAGGGACAAAGACCUUGUUAGACUUUCGAACAUUUUUCUUGUAUCUGUCCUGGCUAGGUUCUGCGGUUUAGUUCACCGUACACCCUUUUAGGCAGGGUUCUGUAAAGCUACCGAUUAGCACUGGAAGCACGGAGGGCACGAGGACGAGAAAAGCCUAGCAGAGGCUACAGCUGGUCUAGGCUCUGGAGGUGCAGCUCUUCCUGACUGGCUUCUUCCUCCUGUGAACAAGAAGAAAGUGUGACCUGCAAUGUCAGCAAGCUACCAAGAAGUCUAGCAACACUGUAGGAGAGAGGCAAGACCCUUCAAAGGCAAGACUUGGAUGCCCAGAGGUCUGUGGGACACAAGCUGAAAACCGUUGUUGUAGCAGAUACCUCCAUUAACAUCGCACAUUACUUGAGCAGGCCCAUGGACUGCAGGAUUGUCUGAGAUGGGAUUUUAACUCACUUCCCCAACACUCCUUUCCUUCCACUGUGCUCAUGCACCCACCUCCAUCUCAGAUAUAUUGAUCAGUAUCUGUGGGAUUUCUAUGGAAAUAGACAUCCUUACCAAUAUCCACCAUCUCUUGUCCUUACUGAUGAACACCAGAAAAACAGAAAUCUGCAUGUAGCCCUCAGUGUUCUUUUUGUGUUCUUUUGUCCAUGAAGAUGUCAGUCACAACCAGA
Long non-coding RNA from Zonotrichia albicollis (white-throated sparrow), 888 nucleotides. RefSeq lists it as uncharacterized. NCBI's taxonomy places the organism in Eukaryota, Metazoa, Chordata, Aves, Passeriformes, Passerellidae. The record is from RefSeq and is a predicted model, not a curated record.